RNAcentral lists this ribosomal RNA (549 nucleotides) under uncultured bacterium. RNAcentral describes it as "bacterial SSU rRNA". It matches the Rfam family "Bacterial small subunit ribosomal RNA", at positions 355 to 896 of the family's 1533-position model. The record is from RNAcentral.
UAGGGANUCUUCGGCAAUGGGGGCAACCCUGACCGAGCAACGCCGCGUGAGUGAAGAAGGUUUUCGGAUCGUAAAGCUCUGUUGUAAGUCAAGAACGAGUAUGAGAGUGGAAAGUUCACACUGUGACGGUAGCUUACCAGAAAGGGACGGCUAACUACGUGCCAGCAGCCGCGGUAAUACGUAGGUCCCGAGCGUUGUCCGGAUUUAUUGGGCGUAAAGCGAGCGCAGGCGGUUUGAUAAGUCUGAAGUUAAAGGCUGUGGCUCAACCAUAGUUCGCUUUGGAAACUGUCAAACUUGAGUGCAGAAGGGGAGAGUGGAAUUCCAUGUGUAGCGGUGAAAUGCGUAGAUAUAUGGAGGAACACCGGUGGCGAAAGCGGCUCUCUGGUCUGUAACUGACGCUGAGGCUCGAAAGCGUGGGGAGCGAACAGGAUUAGAUACCCUGGUAGUCCACGCCGUNNCGAUGAGUGCUAGGUGUUGGAUCCUUUCCGGGAUUCAGUGCCGCAGCUAACGCAUUAAGCACUCCGCCUGGGGAGUACGACCGCAAGGUUG